RNAcentral lists this ribosomal RNA (441 nucleotides) under uncultured bacterium. RNAcentral describes it as "bacterial SSU rRNA". It matches the Rfam family "Bacterial small subunit ribosomal RNA", at positions 64 to 507 of the family's 1533-position model. The record is from RNAcentral.
GAACGGUAACAGGUUAAGCUGACGAGUGGCGAACGGGUGAGUGAUAUAUCGGAACGUGCCCAGUCGUGGGGGAUAACUGCUCGAAAGAGCAGCUAAUACCGCAUACGACCUGAGGGUGAAAGCGGGGGAUCGCAAGACCUCGCGCGAUUGGAGCGGCCGAUAUCAGAUUAGGUAGUUGGUGGGGUAAAGGCCCACCAAGCCAACGAUCUGUAGCUGGUCUGAGAGGACGACCAGCCACACUGGGACUGAGACACGGCCCAGACUCCUACGGGAGGCAGCAGUGGGGAAUUUUGGACAAUGGGCGCAAGCCUGAUCCAGCCAUGCCGCGUGCGGGAAGAAGGCCUUCGGGUUGUAAACCGCUUUUGUCAGGGAAGAAAAGGUUCUGGUUAAUACCUGGGACUCAUGACGGUACCUGAAGAAUAAGCACCGGCUAACUACGUG